UACGUAGGGGCCGAGCGUUGUCCGGAGUUACUGGGCGUAAAGCGCGCGCAGGCGGCUCGUCAAGCCUGACGUGAAAGCCCCCGGCUCAACCGGGGAGGGUCGUCGGGGACUGGCGGGCUUGAGGUCGGCAGGGGUUGGUGGAAUUCCCGGUGUAGUGGUGAAAUGCGUAGAGAUCGGGAGGAACACCCGUGGCGAAGGCGGCCAACUGGGCCGAACCUGACGCUGAGGCGCGAAGGCGUGGGGAGCGAACGGG
Molecule: ribosomal RNA, 253 nt
Filed under: uncultured prokaryote
Description: partial 16S ribosomal RNA
Rfam family: Bacterial small subunit ribosomal RNA
Source: RNAcentral